Molecule: ribosomal RNA, 207 nt
Filed under: uncultured bacterium
Lineage: Bacteria
Description: partial 16S ribosomal RNA
Rfam family: Bacterial small subunit ribosomal RNA
Source: RNAcentral
CGCGCGGGCGGCCGCGAGCGCCCGGCGUGAAAGCCCCCGGCUCAACCGGGGGAGGCCGUCGGGGACCUCGGGGCUGGAGGCCGGUAGGGGCGAGCGGAAUUCCCGGUGUAGUGGCGGAAUGCGUAGAGAUCGGGAGGAACACCAGUGGCGAAGGCGGCUCGCUGGACCGGUCCUGACGCUCAGGCGCGAAAGCGUGGGGAGCGAUCC